Molecule: transfer RNA, 69 nt
Filed under: Semnoderes armiger
Lineage: Eukaryota; Metazoa; Kinorhyncha; Cyclorhagida; Kentrorhagata; Semnoderidae
Description: tRNA-Ile
Source: RNAcentral
AAAUUUGUAUUAUAAAAAAUAAAUUAUUUUGAUAAAAUAAAAAUUAAAAAUUUUUGAUUUAUAAGUUUA